GUGCUUGCUUGGACGGCACAUAUACUAAAAUUGGAAAGAUACAGAGAAGAUUAGCAUAGCCCCUGAGCAAGGAUGACACACAAAUUCGUGAAGCAUUCCAUAUUUUA
Molecule: small nuclear RNA, 107 nt
Filed under: Catagonus wagneri (Chacoan peccary)
Lineage: Eukaryota; Metazoa; Chordata; Mammalia; Artiodactyla; Tayassuidae
Source: RNAcentral